AUUGAACGCUGGCGGUAGGCCUAACACAUGCAAGUCGAACGGCAGCACAGUAAGAGCUUGCUCUUACGGGUGGCGAGUGGCGGACGGGUGAGGAAUACAUCGGAAUCUACUUUUUCGAGGGGGAUAAAGUAGGGAAACAUACGCUAAUACCGCAUACGACCUACGGGUGAAAGCAGGGGAUCUUCGGACCUUGCGCGAUUGAAUGAGCCGAUGUCGGAUUAGCUAGUUGGCGGGGUAAAGGCCCACCAAGGCGACGAUCCGUAGCUGGUCUGAGAGGAUGAUCAGCCACACUGGAACUGAGACACGGUCCAGACUCCUACGGGAGGCAGCAGUGGGGAAUAUUGGACAAUGGGCGCAAGCCUGAUCCAGCCAUACCGCGUGUGUGAAGAAGGCCUUCGGGUUGUAAAGCCCUUUUGUUGGGAAAGAAAAGCAGCAGGUUAAUACCCCGCUGUUCUGACGGUACCCAAAGAAUAAGCACCGGCUAACUUCGUG
RNAcentral lists this ribosomal RNA (492 nucleotides) under uncultured bacterium. Its description in RNAcentral is "partial 16S ribosomal RNA". It matches the Rfam family "Bacterial small subunit ribosomal RNA", at positions 30 to 507 of the family's 1533-position model. The record is from RNAcentral.